RNAcentral lists this ribosomal RNA (427 nucleotides) under uncultured Pseudomonas sp. RNAcentral describes it as "bacterial SSU rRNA". It matches the Rfam family "Bacterial small subunit ribosomal RNA", at positions 355 to 774 of the family's 1533-position model. Lineage: Bacteria; Pseudomonadati; Pseudomonadota; Gammaproteobacteria; Pseudomonadales; Pseudomonadaceae. The record is from RNAcentral.
UGGGGAAUAUUGGACAAUGGGCGAAAGCCUGAUCCAGCCAUGCCGCGUGUGUGAAGAAGGUCUUCGGAUUGUAAAGCACUUUAAGUUGGGAGGAAGGGCAGUUACCUAAUACGUAAUUGUUUUGACGUUACCGACAGAAUAAGCACCGGCUAACUCUGUGCCAGCAGCCGCGGUAAUACAGAGGGUGCAAGCGUUAAUCGGAAUUACUGGGCGUAAAGCGCGCGUAGGUGGUUCGUUAAGUUGGAUGUGAAAUCCCCGGGCUCAACCUGGGAACUGCAUUCAAAACUGUCGAGCUAGAGUAUGGUAGAGGGUGGUGGAAUUUCCUGUGUAGCGGUGAAAUGCGUAGAUAUAGGAAGGAACACCAGUGGCGAAGGCGACCACCUGGACUGAUACUGACACUGAGGUGCGAAAGCGUGGGGAGCAAACA